UGGCCCCUGGAGGAGAGAGCCUCUCAACCCUAAUUCAUUAUUUUCAAGGGAGAAGAAGCCUCUGAUCAAGAUUAGAGCCACCACAUCAAUUAGAUAUCUAGAUUAGCAUAGCUACAUAGGAUUAGAACUAGAAGGAGUCAAUCUUCGAUUGGUUUCCGGAUCUGUCAAGAGGAUUCUUGGUAAUUCUCUAAUUGUGCUUCUAAUUGUUCUUCUAAUCAUCUUUGUUCUUCAAUAUUAUGAAUAUGACUUUGUUCUACUUCAAUAUAUUGCUUAUGACUUUGCUCUACUUGUUUAUAUUCAAGAUUAUAUUGUUCUUAGUUUAUCAUAGUUAUAUACUUGGCUUAGUUAGAUUGGAUCUAUAUACGUGUUUAGGAUCGUAUAGCGUUUAUCCAUCGGAUCCAUGGGUAAAUGAUAGAUAUUGUGUAGGCGUGGUGCUUAUACCGUAUUUAUCUGUGAUUGUACCCAA
Molecule: long non-coding RNA, 466 nt
Filed under: Sorghum bicolor (sorghum)
Lineage: Eukaryota; Viridiplantae; Streptophyta; Magnoliopsida; Poales; Poaceae
Description: long non-coding RNA (SBIC_LNC008357)
Source: RNAcentral